AUGGGACGAUCCCCCUCCCCAGUCUGCCUGCGCCCAUGUUUCUCCGGCUCUGCUGUCUACAUGUUCACACCAUCCCGGGAAGAAGCGGCGUGCGACAGGGCUGAUCAUGUACAAGUAAGGAAGUCAGUAUCUCCGCGUCCAGCUGCUGCCUUAUGGGCUGGACGCACGGAGUCCAGCAUGCAGGAUCUGGAAGGAAGAGGAGGUGACCAGUGUGGGCCUCAGGGUCUGUCUCUGGGCAGGAGGGAGACGAGGGGCACAGGGGCAGGCCAGCCCCCAGGCCCCUGGCAAAGCACUGGGGCAGCCGGCUGGCCCGCUGCUGUCCAGGGGCGCAGCGGUCGGCAUGGUCUGCAGGCCUCUGAGCUCUGCCUCUCCCGUCAUGGGGGGCGGGGGCUGCUGUGUCACUGUCACCAGGAGUGGCUUGUGGAAGGGACCGCAGAGCGGAGUGGGGUCGUUGCUGGGGAAGCACGAGAAGCAGACCAGGGGGGGAUGGGUCAGGAGAGGAGCCCCAGGCAUGGCUGUGGGGCCUGCAGGCUGUUCUUGAGGGUGAGGGUCGUGCAGUCGGAGCGUAGGGCCUCACAGCAGCAGCGCUGUGGUCAGCAGAGAGCAGGGGACGGCGGCCCGGGCUGCGCGGGCCCUGAGUGUGGGGAAGACCCGAGCACCCUGAGGGAGGUGUCCCCGGGCGUGCUCUACGAAUGGUCCCCUGUCCUAUCCGGGAUGCAGCCUCAGCCUCGUCCACCUGCACCCCCACCCCCCGAAGCAGCAGCUUCCAGAGCCCCACAUCCUGAUCUUGCAGUGCUGCUCGGGGCCCAGCGGAACGAGGGUGGGAUGUGCGAGGGGCCACCUGGGUCCAGCCCGCCUCCAGGGUCCCACACGUGGCUUCCCGGGAUGGAGGGUGGUUCCCCUGGGGCGCCGCUGUCUGCAAAUGCUGAGCUGAGGGGAAGCCGCGGCUCCGGGGUCGAGCUUGCCGGAGGGGGUGACCAGGAGAUGGGGGUAGGUGGGCAGUGGAGGCCCGUCUCUGCCUCCUCCUCCAGUCUAGCUCAGACAUGA
This 1047-nucleotide long non-coding RNA is filed under the name Canis lupus dingo (dingo). RNAcentral's name for it is "lncRNA (ENSCAFG00020005025.1)". Lineage: Eukaryota; Metazoa; Chordata; Mammalia; Carnivora; Canidae. The record is from RNAcentral.